This 358-nucleotide long non-coding RNA is filed under the name Canis lupus dingo (dingo). Its description in RNAcentral is "lncRNA (ENSCAFG00020020676.1)". Lineage: Eukaryota; Metazoa; Chordata; Mammalia; Carnivora; Canidae. The record is from RNAcentral.
GCACAGGGCUCACUGAUCACCCUUCCUAGGGCCUGAAAGGACAAGCAGGGCCUCCUGGCCCCCCCGGCCUCCCGGUGAGUGCCUCCCCACGCCUGUCCUCUGCUCCCUGACUGGCGUACUGCCUCCUUACCUGCUCUCUCCUCUCAGGGCAGGAUUGGUGUUCCUGGCCCCCAGGGGCCCCCUGGUGGUACCGUUGCAAAGGGUGAGAGGGGCUUCCCUGGGGCAGAUGGGCCUCCAGGCAGCCCUGGCCGCCCUGGGACUCCUGGAACCCCUGGCUCCAAGGGCUCCCCAGGGUGGCCUGGUCCUCGUGGAGAAACAGGAGAACGAGGACCUCGAGGCCCGAAGGGGGAGCCGGUAG